RNAcentral lists this ribosomal RNA (654 nucleotides) under uncultured archaeon. Its description in RNAcentral is "bacterial SSU rRNA". It matches the Rfam family "Archaeal small subunit ribosomal RNA", at positions 508 to 1160 of the family's 1478-position model. The record is from RNAcentral.
GCCUAAAGCGUCCGUAGCCGGCUCUGUAAGUUUUCGGUUAAAUCUGUACGCUCAACGUACAGGCUGCUGGGAAUACUGCAGAGCUAGGGAGUGGGAGAGGUAGACGGUACUCGGGAGGAAGUGGUAAAAUGCUUUGAUCUCUCGAUGACCACCUGUGGCGAAGGCGGUCUACCAGAGCACGUCCGACGGUAAGGGAUGAAAGCUGGGGGAGCAAACCGGAUUAGAUACCCGGGUAGUCCCAGCUGUAAACUAUGCAAACUAAGUGAUGCAUUGGUUUGUGGCCAAUGCAGUAUUUCAGGGAAGCCGUUAAGUUUGCCGCCUGGGAAGUACGUACGCAAGUAUGAAACUUAAAGGAAUUGGCGGGGGAGCACCACAAGGGGUGAAGCCUGCGGUUCAAUUGGAGUCAACGCCAGAAAUCUUACCCGGAGAGACAGCAGAAUGAAGGUCAAGCUGAAGACUUUACCAGACAAGCUGAGAGGUGGUGCAUGGCCGUCGCCAGCUCGUGCCGUGAGAUGUCCUGUUAAGUCAGGUAACGAGCGAGAUCCCUGCCUCUAGUUGCCACCAUUACUCUCAGGAGUAGUGGGGCGAAUUAGCGGGACUGCCGCAGUUAAUGCGGAGGAAGGAGAGGGCCACGGCAGGUCAGUAUGCCCCGAA